Molecule: ribosomal RNA, 433 nt
Filed under: uncultured bacterium
Lineage: Bacteria
Description: partial 16S ribosomal RNA
Rfam family: Bacterial small subunit ribosomal RNA
Source: RNAcentral
AACGAACGCUGGCGGCAUGCCUAACACAUGCAAGUCGAACGAGACCUUCGGGUCUAGUGGCGCACGGGUGCGUAACGCGGGGGAACCUGCCCUUAGGUUCGGAAUAACUCCCCGAAAGGGGUGCUAAUACCGGAUAAUAUCUUCGGACCAAAGAUUUAUCGCCUUUGGAUGGGCCCGCGUUGGAUUAGCUAGUUGGUAGGGUAAAAGCCUACCAAGGCGACGAUCCAUAGCUGGUCUGAGAGGAUGAUCAGCCACACUGGGACUGAGACACGGCCCAGACUCCUACGGGAGGCAGCAGUGGGGAAUAUUGGACAACGGGCGAAAGCCUGAUCCAGCAAUGCCGCGUGAGUGAUGAAGGCCUUAGGGUUGUAAAGCUCUUUUACCCGGGAUGAUAAUGACAGUACCGGGAGAAUAAGCUCCGGCUAACUCCGUG